AAAAAAUUAGUUAAAUAUUAUAAUAAAGGAUUGUCAAUUCUUAGUUGCUUUAAUAAAAGUGUUUUUUG
Molecule: transfer RNA, 68 nt
Filed under: Micrura bella
Lineage: Eukaryota; Metazoa; Nemertea; Pilidiophora; Heteronemertea; Lineidae
Description: tRNA-Asp
Source: RNAcentral